This 380-nucleotide small RNA is filed under the name Oryza sativa Japonica Group (Japanese rice). RNAcentral describes it as "sRNA Os05g0401050". Lineage: Eukaryota; Viridiplantae; Streptophyta; Magnoliopsida; Poales; Poaceae. The record is from RNAcentral.
CCUUUAGAUAGAAGCUUAGUAACUUUGUCCUUGAAUGCAAAGAAUUGCUUAAUCUGAAGACCAAAUGAAAAUGGGCUGACAGAUGUUGCCGUUGCUGGAGUAAUUGAACAGCCAGCUUGAGCAAAAUUAACACCCGCACGUAAGUUAGGUGCACCAACAGAAUCCAAAUAUGCAUUGAGGAACGGCAUAUCCAUUGCAUCCACUGCAGGAGGAAUCGAUGAUGAGGCGGCCGUCGCAGAACCGGCCGGAGGGGGAGCCGAAGAAGGUGGAGCCGUAGGGAGGCGCGAUGGACUCGAACCCGGCGGCCACGCGCCCUCCCGUGUCGGAGUUGGAGUCGCCGAAGUUGAACACCGCCGGGUAGUUGAACUCCGGCGACGACG